RNAcentral lists this long non-coding RNA (376 nucleotides) under Lepidothrix coronata (blue-crowned manakin). RNAcentral's name for it is "lncRNA (ENSLCOG00000007382.1)". The record is from RNAcentral. Lineage: Eukaryota; Metazoa; Chordata; Aves; Passeriformes; Pipridae.
AAAUGACAAUUCCUUUUAUCUGGGAUUUAUUUGUACAUCCACAGGGGCUGCGACCAUCUUCUGCUGACCCAUGUCAUGACCAAAUACAGCAGCAGAAAAUAAAGGAAGAGGAUCUGAAAAACCAUCAGCAGGACAUAUCUAGAAAGAAUGAAAUGAAAGAACAGGAGUACCUGAAACAGCUGCAGAAAAUUCGUGAAGAAUACCACAGCCAUAUAAAAGAAUUCAGAUUUAGAGCCCAAAUACUCCAGGACAUGGAAGAAAACUUUGAACAAGUCCGAGUCCAGGAUAAGCAAGACCAAAAAAUCUUAGAAAAAAAACAUAACAGAAAGGUAUCCAUCCUUAUUGUUAUUCCUUUUUCCAUUUUCUUCUUAUGUCU